AGUCUUAACUGGGCGUUAAGUUGCAGGGUAUAGACCCGAAACCCGGUGAUCUAGCCAUGGGCAGGUUGAAGGUUGGGUAACACUAACUGGAGGACCGAACCGACUAAUGUUGAAAAAUUAGCGGAUGACUUGUGGCUGGGGGUGAAAGGCCAAUCAAACCGGGAGAUAGCUGGUUCUCCCCGAAAGCUAUUUAGGUAGCGCCUCGUGAAUUCAUCUUCGGGGGUAGAGCACUGUUUCGGCUAGGGGGUCAUCCCGACUUACCAACCCGAUGCAAACUACGAAUACCGAAGAAUGUUAUCACGGGAGACACACGGCGGGUGCUAACGUCCGUCGUGAAGAGGGAAACAACCCAGACCGCCAGCUAAGGUCCCAAAGUCAUGGUUAAGUGGGAAACGAUGUGGGAAGGCACAGACAGCCAGGAUGUUGGCUUAGAA
Molecule: ribosomal RNA, 434 nt
Filed under: Acinetobacter baumannii
Lineage: Bacteria; Pseudomonadati; Pseudomonadota; Gammaproteobacteria; Moraxellales; Moraxellaceae
Description: partial 23S ribosomal RNA
Rfam family: Bacterial large subunit ribosomal RNA
Source: RNAcentral